Long non-coding RNA from Gadus macrocephalus (Pacific cod), 1142 nucleotides. RefSeq lists it as uncharacterized. The transcript is spliced from 2 exons. Lineage: Eukaryota; Metazoa; Chordata; Actinopteri; Gadiformes; Gadidae. The record is from RefSeq and is a predicted model, not a curated record.
UCAAAGUGUGGACAACAUCAAAUGCGAGCAAUAGGUAGAAUAAAUGAAGAUUAGGUCAUCCAAUAUACAUAGUUAGUGUAGGACAAUCGGGUAGUAUGAUGAAGGUAACUGUUAUUAUGAGAUACGGUUAACACAGAAGUGAUAUUGAACAUGCAAAUUUUAACAUUGUUAUUUCCCUUUUACAUCUUUUUGGUUAUAGCAACUUGGUUGCACUACGGUGUGGUUAGCUUUGGUUGUCAUUCAAUGCGCAUGGCUGAAGCAAUGCGCAAGGAGGGAUGUAGUGUGAAAUUAAACCAAAGUAGAUACUGUAAAACAAUUAAAAUUAGAAUUCAUGGAAAUAUGUUUUUGAACAACUAACUGCUGUACAUGAGUUUGUAUUUCUGCAAUAGAAACAAAAGUUCCAGAACCAGAUGCAGACACACCCGGAGCCUACAAACUACCACCGCCGAGCAAGGACUAACAGUCACAUGAGGAGAUCAAAUAACAGCAGGAUUUGAAUCGCUCCGGAUGGGUUGGUGGCCAGGGCGCUGGCCACCUGUUGCUGACACGACGACGACGGAGAACCUGUUUGGAGGCUCCCAUGAUGUAGGAGUAACCUCUCUGAGCUGAGCCCUUGACAAGGAGGGACGAGUCUUGGGUUCAUGAAUUACAGGCCCGACGGCGACAGAAAAAACAAUGGCUACGAUAAUAACAUCGCCCAAAACCACCCACAUGAAACAGCGCACCAAUACACGAAGAUCACCUGAACCCUCCAAAUCCAUGCUAGCCUAUCAAUCAUUUUGAAAUUUUAAAAUUGUAUUAUGACCACCAAUUUUUACUUUACUUUUGCACAUGUUGAAAAUUGUAUGACCUUGUAGCACAUAACCAAAAGUAUUAGCUCAGGAUUUCUAUGGAUAGUUUUGUUUGUGUGCUGUUUGACCAUAUGAUUGUAUGAUAACAAGAUAUAUGUUCAUUGUUGUAUUGUUAAACAAUGACCUGUAUUUCCAAUGAGACCCACAAUGUGAAUACCGUUUCAGUAUUAUGGGGACGCGUAGUGGUUUUUCUCUAUUCGAUAGAGUUGUUCCCACACGGUUGAUGGUGUUGAUGAUUGAUCCUACUUUGACUAUGUUUUCGGUGUGGUAAAUGGUGUUUAUGAUUUAAAA